GCUGGCAGCUGGUUUUCUGACUCUUUCUCACUCAGCAAACAGGAGGGUCGGUCUCAGCAUGCACCGCACCUAUCUCGUCCUCACUGCCUUCCUGGGACAACUGCUGGAUGCCGUGGGGCAGAUGAUCAUCACCCAGCAAGAAGGACAGGUCACAGUGGAGGAGAGAGACACCUUCCAGACCACCUGCACAUACCAGACGCCUAGCUUUUAUGGCUUGCUUUGGUAUGAGCAGAAGAAAGGCCAAGCCCCCCAGCUGGUCACAUAUCAGGCAGCAGCAGGCCCCAAGCAGAACGGCCGCUUCACCACGUGGCUCAACACCACUGGGAAAUACAGCCUCCUGCAGCUGGCAGAAGUCGAGCUCUCUGACAGCGCCUUGUACCUCUGUGCUGUGCAGGACACCGUGGUGCAGGGAGCUUCCUUGGCUGUGCAACAACCCCGGGGAGGGAGGGGGUGUGUCUGUGCAAGGCGGAGCUCAGGGGAAGGGGCCCUCAUCUCUCCCCUGGCAGCGCUGCUUCCCCUGUGCACACAGAGAUCUGCAGGUCAACAUCCUCUUCCAGAUGGGACCAAUGUCUGUGGCUUAACAGGAAUAUAAUGUUAUGAAAGACACCCUGACCUGCAACUCCUCUUCCUUUACACUCCUGGACAGCACAGC
Molecule: non-coding RNA, 652 nt
Organism: Numida meleagris (helmeted guineafowl)
Lineage: Eukaryota; Metazoa; Chordata; Aves; Galliformes; Numididae
Source: the annotation of a RefSeq genome assembly